Molecule: transfer RNA, 82 nt
Filed under: Pseudoglutamicibacter albus
Lineage: Bacteria; Bacillati; Actinomycetota; Actinomycetes; Micrococcales; Micrococcaceae
Also listed under: 4 other names
Description: tRNA-Leu
Rfam family: tRNA
About the family: Transfer RNA (tRNA) molecules are approximately 80 nucleotides in length. Their secondary structure includes four short double-helical elements and three loops (D, anti-codon, and T loops).
Source: RNAcentral
GCCCGAGUGGCGGAAUUGGUAGACGCACUGCACUCAAAAUGCAGCGAUGAAAAUCGUGCGGGUUCGAGUCCCGCCUCGGGCA